UGGAAGUAUAUGCCGUAACAAGCGUCUCAACGUUGCGUGAAUCCAUCGGUGUGAUCAUUUCUGAUUUCUACAACUUCUAUACCCUUUGUGAACCUUACUUCAAAGUUGCCUCGGCGAGGAACGUGCCGGCCGCCGGCCCCCGACGCCGGCGCCGGACCCAGGCGCCCGCCGCAGGGACCCCAUACUCUCUUGCUUUACUCCCAGCGGGCGGAAUUUCUUCUCUGAGUUGCUCAAGCAAAAACAAAUGAAUCAAAACUUUCAACAACGGAUCUCUUGGUUCUGGCAUCGAUGAAGAACGCUGCGAAAUGCGAUAAGUAAUGUGAAUUGCAGAAUUCAUUGAAUCAUCGAAUCUUUGAACGCACAUUGCGCCCGCCAGCAUUCUGGCGGGCAUGCCUGUUCGAUUGUCAUUUCAACCCUCGAGCCCCCCCUGGGGCCUGGGUGUUGGGGGACGGCACACCAGCCGCCCCCGAAAUGCAGUGGCUACCCCGCCGCAGCCCUCGCGUGCGUAGUCGCAGGCACUUCCGCACCGGAGCGCGGAGGCGGUCACGCCGUAAAACGCCCAACUUUUUUAGAUUUUUUACCUCGGAAUCAGUAGGAUCCCAAGGUUCCCCCUACCCACUGAAUUGUUCGUUCUGAAGGUUUCCUACAAACA
RNAcentral lists this ribosomal RNA (652 nucleotides) under Purpureocillium lilacinum. Its description in RNAcentral is "partial 18S ribosomal RNA". The stretch from base 254 to 407 matches the Rfam family "5.8S ribosomal RNA". Lineage: Eukaryota; Fungi; Ascomycota; Sordariomycetes; Hypocreales; Ophiocordycipitaceae. The record is from RNAcentral.